This 671-nucleotide ribosomal RNA is filed under the name uncultured bacterium. RNAcentral describes it as "bacterial SSU rRNA". It matches the Rfam family "Bacterial small subunit ribosomal RNA", at positions 730 to 1406 of the family's 1533-position model. The record is from RNAcentral.
UGGGCAACAACUGACGCUGAGGCACGAAAGUGUGGGGAGCAAACAGGAUUAGAUACCCUGGUAGUCCACACCGUAAACGAUGGAUACUAGGAGUUGGCAAAAAUAUUGUCGGUUCCGCAGUUAACGCAUUAAGUAUCCCACCUGGGGAGUACGACCGCAAGGUUAAAACUCAAAGGAAUUGACGGGGGCCCGCACAAGCAGUGGAGUAUGUGGUUUAAUUCGAAGCAACGCGAAGAACCUUACCAGGGCUUGACAUAUACAGGAAUAUAUAAGAGAUUAUAUAGCUCUACGGAGUCUGUAUACAGGUGGUGCAUGGUUGUCGUCAGCUCGUGUCGUGAGAUGUUGGGUUAAGUCCCGUAACGAGCGCAACCCCUAUGGCUAGUUGCUAACAUUAAGUUGAGGACUCUAGCAAGACUGCCGUUGUUAAAACGGAGGAAGGUGGGGACGACGUCAAAUCAUCAUGCCCUUUAUGUCCUGGGCUACACACGUACUACAAUGGGUAAGACAGAGGGAAGCGAAAGUGCGAACUGGAGCAAAACCCUAAACUUAUUCUCAGUUCGGAUUGGAGUCUGAAAUUCGGCUCCAUGAAGCUGGAAUUGCUAGUAAUGGCAGGUCAGCAUACUGCCGUGAAUACGUUCCCGGGCCUUGUACACACCGCCCGUCACACCAUG